RNAcentral lists this ribosomal RNA (253 nucleotides) under uncultured bacterium. RNAcentral describes it as "partial 16S ribosomal RNA". It matches the Rfam family "Bacterial small subunit ribosomal RNA", at positions 524 to 776 of the family's 1533-position model. The record is from RNAcentral.
UACAGAGGGUGCGAGCGUUAAUCGGAAUUACUGGGCGUAAAGCGCACGUAGGCGGCUUUGCAAGUCGGGUGUGAAAUCCCCGGGCUCAACCUGGGAACUGCAUCCGAGACUGCAUUGCUCGAGUAUGGGAGAGGGAAGUGGAAUUUCCGGUGUAGCGGUGAAAUGCGUAGAUAUCGGAAGGAACAUCAGUGGCGAAGGCGACUUCCUGGACCAAUACUGACGCUCAGGUGCGAAAGCGUGGGGAGCGAACAGG